This 408-nucleotide ribosomal RNA is filed under the name uncultured bacterium. Its description in RNAcentral is "bacterial SSU rRNA". It matches the Rfam family "Bacterial small subunit ribosomal RNA", at positions 355 to 775 of the family's 1533-position model. The record is from RNAcentral.
UGGGGAAUAUUGCGCAAUGGGCGAAAGCCUGACGCAGCGACGCCGCGUGAGGGAUGACGGCCUUCGGGUUGUAAACCUCUUUCGACCGGGACGAAGCGCAAGUGACGGUACCGGUAGAAGAAGCACCGGCUGACUACGUGCCAGCAGCCGCGGUAAUACGUAGGGUGCGAGCGUUGUCCGGAAUUAUUGGGCGUAAAGAGCUCGUAGGCGGUUUGUCGCGUCGGCCGUGAAAACCUGGGGCUUAACUCUGGGCUUGCGGUCGAUACGGGCAGACUUGAGUUCGGUAGGGGAGACUGGAAUUCCUGGUGUAGCGGUGAAAUGCGCAGAUAUCAGGAGGAACACCGGUGGCGAAGGCGGGUCUCUGGGCCGAUACUGACGCUGAGGAGCGAAAGCGUGGGGAGCGAACAG